Molecule: ribosomal RNA, 672 nt
Filed under: Triticum aestivum (bread wheat)
Lineage: Eukaryota; Viridiplantae; Streptophyta; Magnoliopsida; Poales; Poaceae
Description: partial small subunit ribosomal RNA
Source: RNAcentral
AUGGCCUAUAUCACUUUGCUGCCUAAGAAAGAUACCCCGCUUGCCCUGGGCGAGUACAGACCUAUCUCCUUGGUUCACAGCUUGCCAAAAUUGGCCUCCAAGGUUUUAACAAACAGGCUUGAACGCCAUAUACCAGAUUUGGUGCACCUCCUGCAAUCCGGUUUUUUGAAAGGUCGUUCGAUCAUUGAAAACUUUGCCCUAGCCACUGAGAUGGUUCAAACUGCUCACAAAAGAAAGCUGCCAGUUAUCGCCUUAAAGUUGGACUUUCAAAAGGCCUUCGACAGUGUGAGUUGGAGCUACCUUUUGCAGAUUCUUCAAGCUCAAGGCUUCCCGCAGAGGUGGAUACAAUGGAUUUCCUCCCUUCUAUCCACUGGCAAGUCACGUGUUUUAAUGAAUGGAGAGCUUGGUGAUGUUUUUUCUGCCAAGAAGGGCUUCCAUCAAGGGUAUUCUCUCUCUCCCUACCUAUUCAUCUUGGUUGCGGAUGUGCUCCAACGCCUAUGCUGCAUGCAUUUCCAGGCCGGCAACUUGCUGCACCCCUUGGUUCAGAUGCUCUGUUUCCUGUCUUGCAACAUGCGGAUGAUACUCUGCUCAUUUUCCAGGGAACUUUGCAGCAAGCUCAAGUUAUCAAAAACAUACUUUCCGCCUUCUCAGAUUUCUCUGGCCUGCAGAUAA